ACGCUGGCGGCGUGCUUAACACAUGCAUGUCGAACGGAAAGGCCCUGCUUUUGUGGGGUGCUCGAGUGGCGAACGGGUGAGUAACACGUGAGUAACCUGCCCUUGACUUUGGGAUAACUUCAGGAAACUGGGGCUAAUACCGGAUAGGAGCUCCUGCUGCAUGGUGGGGGUUGGAAAGUUUCGGCGGUUGGGGAUGGACUCGCGGCUUAUCAGCUUGUUGGUGGGGUAGUGGCUUACCAAGGCUUUGACGGGUAGCCGGCCUGAGAGGGUGACCGGCCACAUUGGGACUGAGAUACGGCCCAGACUCCUACGGGAGGCAGCAGUGGGGAAUAUUGCACAAUGGGCGGAAGCCUGAUGCAGCAACGCCGCGUGCGGGAUGACGGCCUUCGGGUUGUAAACCGCUUUCGCCUGUGACGAAGCGUGAGUGACGGUAAUGGGUAAAGAAGCACCGGCUAACUACGUGCCAGCAGCCGCGGUGAUACGUAGGGUGCGAGCGUUGUCCGGAUUUAUUGGGCGUAAAGGGCUCGUAGGUGGUUGAUCGCGUCGGAAGUGUAAUCUUGGGGCUUAACCCUGAGCGUGCUUUCGAUACGGGUUGACUUGAGGAAGGUAGGGGAGAAUGGAAUUCCUGGUGGAGCGGUGGAAUGCGCAGAUAUCAGGAGGAACACCAGUGGCGAAGGCGGUUCUCUGGGCCUUUCCUGACGCUGAGGAGCGAAAGCGUGGGGAGCGAACAGGCUUAGAUACCCUGGUAGUCCACGCUGUAAACGGUGGGUACUAGGUGUGGGGUCCAUUCCACGGGUUCCGUGCCGUAGCUAACGCUUUAAGUACCCCGCCUGGGGAGUACGGCCGCAAGGCUAGAACUCAAAGGAAUUGGCGGGGCCCCGCACAAGCGGCGGAGCAUGCGGAUUAAUUCGAUGCAACGCGUAGAACCUUACCUGGGUUUGACAUGGAUCGGGAGUGCUCAGAGAUGGGUGUGCCUCUUUUGGGGUCGGUUCACAGGUGGUGCAUGGCUGUCGUCAGCUCGUGUCGUGAGAUGUUGGGUUAAGUCCCGCAACGAGCGCAACCCUUGUUCACUGUUGCCAGCACGUUAUGGUGGGGACUCAGUGGAGACCGCCGGGGUCAACUCGGAGGAAGGUGGGGAUGACGUCAAGUCAUCAUGCCCCCUAUGUCCAGGGCUUCACGCAUGCUACAAUGGCUGGUACAGAGAGUGGCGAGCCUGUGAGGGUGAGCGAAUCUCGGAAAGCCGGUCUCAGUUCGGAUUGGGGUCUGCAACUCGACCUCAUGAAGUCGGAGUCGCUAGUAAUCGCAGAUCAGCAACGCUGCGGUGAAUACGUUCCCGGG
RNAcentral lists this ribosomal RNA (1338 nucleotides) under uncultured bacterium. RNAcentral describes it as "16S ribosomal RNA". It matches the Rfam family "Bacterial small subunit ribosomal RNA", at positions 33 to 1378 of the family's 1533-position model. The record is from RNAcentral.